AGCUGAGUUUGGGUUAGGUUAGGGAGGAGGAGGAGGUGAGCUGAGUUUGGGUUAGGUUAGGGAGGAGGAGGAGGAGGUGAGCUGAGUUUGGGUUAGGUUAGGGAGGUGGAGGAGGAGGCGAGCUGAGUUUGGGUUAGGUUAGGUUAGGGAUUGCUUGCGGUAAAUCAGGUUUAGUUAGGUAAGAUUAGCGGACUUUUUUUCUACUUCUCUGCCCUUGAGCUGCUUCCUUUACUGUAAAAAAAAAAAGGUUUAGUAAUAAUAAAAAGGAAAUAAGUCUGCACCUUUAGACAGAAACCGUAGACAGACAAUGAGUUACGUAUGGUUAGGUUAGAUUAAAAUAGCUUGGGGUAGGUCAGGUUUGGUUAAGUAAGAUUUAGAGAUAACAAGAAGGAAAUACGUAUAGCCUCAUAUAUAUGCGAUAAGAAACAGAAACCAUAGACACAAUAAGUUACAUAUGGUUAGGUUAGAUUAAUAUAGCUUGGCGCAGGUCAGGUUUGGUUAAGAAAGAUUUAGAGAUAACAAGAAGGAAAUACGUAUAGCCUCAUAUAUAUGCGAUAAGAAACAGAAACCAUAGACACAAUAAGUUACAUAUGGUUAGGUUAGAUUAAUAUAGCUUGGCGCAGGUCAGGUUUGGUUAAGUAAGAUUUAGAGAUAACAAGAAGGAAAUGCGUAUAGCCUCAUAUAUAUGCGAUAAGAAACAGAAACCAUAGACACAAUAAGUUACAUAUGGUUAGGUUAGAUUAAUAUAGCUUGGGGUAGGUCAGGUUUGGUUGGGUAAGGUUGAGAGAUAAUAAUAAUAAAAUACGUAUAGCCUCAUAUAUAUGCAAUAAGAGGCAGAAACCAUAGAUACAAUAAGUUACAUAAGUUUAGGUAGGUCAGGUUUGUUUCGAUAAGGUAUAGAGAUGAAUACCGAUUAAUACGAAGCCUCAAAUUUAUGCGUAAGACGAAAUAACAGAGAGAAACCAUAGACACACUGAGUUACGUUAGCUUAGGUUAGGUUAGGAUAGCUCGCGGUAAGUCAGGUUCGGUAUGGAGUACAAAAUAAGAACUUCAUUGUACCUCAGUCAGCGUUGCCAGAUUAUCGUACUCAGAGCAUCGUAUUUACCGGUUUCUGUUCCAUAACAAUUGUCAAGAAACACCAAUAAUUAACCAUUUUCUCGAUGAUUUUAUAUGAAGCCAGUUUUGGGGGUGGAGGAAACAGUUUUUAGGUCGGAAAUCGGUAAACAUAAGAGGCUAAGUACGACAGUCUGGUAACGAUGACCUCAGUGGGUUAGUUCACUUAGCUGGACAUGGAAGGUCAGAAGAGACAGUCCAUUCUCUCAGGUGAGGUGCAGAGGUAAAGUAUGGGACUCUUAGUAAGUAUGGUAAGUAGUAAAGAGGUGUGUGUGUGUGUGUGUGUGUGUGUGUGUGUGUGUGUGUGUGUGUUGAUUUGGUAAGUACGUUUGCUUCUUUGAUUUCUCUGUGCAUUGUAAUUUACUUGCAUGUUUAGAAGUUAAGUGAUAUAUUUUAUGUUUAUAGUAUAGUUUUAGAAGUAGAAGUAGUAGUAGUAGUAAUAGUAGUAGUGGUAGUAGUAGUAGUGGUGGUGGUGGUAGUAGUAGUAGUAGUAGUAAUAAUAAUAAUAAUAAUAAUAAUAAUAAUAAUAAUGAUAA
Molecule: long non-coding RNA, 1649 nt
Organism: Eriocheir sinensis (Chinese mitten crab)
Lineage: Eukaryota; Metazoa; Arthropoda; Malacostraca; Decapoda; Varunidae
Exons: 3
Source: RefSeq, a predicted model, not a curated record